Molecule: transfer RNA, 73 nt
Filed under: Ovis aries (sheep)
Lineage: Eukaryota; Metazoa; Chordata; Mammalia; Artiodactyla; Bovidae
Rfam family: tRNA
About the family: Transfer RNA (tRNA) molecules are approximately 80 nucleotides in length.
Source: Rfam by way of RNAcentral
UCCCUGGUGGUCCAGUGGUCAGGACUCUAUUCUUUUACUGCAGAGGACUCAGGUUUGAUUCCUGGUUGGUGAA